RNAcentral lists this transfer RNA (71 nucleotides) under Cordylochernes scorpioides. RNAcentral's name for it is "tRNA-Gly". Lineage: Eukaryota; Metazoa; Arthropoda; Arachnida; Pseudoscorpiones; Chernetidae. The record is from RNAcentral.
UGCAUCGGCCUGGAAUCGAACCCAGGCCGCCCGCGUGGCAGGGGAGCAUUUUACCACGGAACUAUCGAUGC